UACGUAGGGGGCUAGCGUUGUCCGGAUUUAUUGGGCGUAAAGAGCGUGUAGGCGGCCAGGUAGGUCUGCUGUGAAAACUCGAGGCUCAACCUCGAGACGUCGGCGGAAACCAUCUGGCUAGAGUCCGGAAGAGGAGAGUGGAAUUCCUGGUGUAGCGGUGAAAUGCGCAGAUAUCAGGAAGAACACCAAUUGCGAAGGCAGCUCGCUGGGACGUAACUGACGCUGAGACGCGAAAGCGUGGGGAGCAAACAGG
This 253-nucleotide ribosomal RNA is filed under the name uncultured bacterium. Its description in RNAcentral is "partial 16S ribosomal RNA". It matches the Rfam family "Bacterial small subunit ribosomal RNA", at positions 524 to 776 of the family's 1533-position model. The record is from RNAcentral.